AGGGGGGGCGGUGCUGGGUUUGGCUUGGGGGGUGUGUACUUGCGGUGGUCGUGCUCUGCUAUGUCUGCUCUGGUCGUCGAGGUAGAGGUGUUAAGCACACGGAAGGGGGUGGUGAUGCGCCGAGGGCUCCUCUGCUUAGCUCGGAGGAGGAAGAGGUGAGGGCCAGCGGCGGCGAUGCAGCUAUAACCUUUCCCGAGGCUGUCGAGCUUGUGGCUGAAUUCAACGUACCCCUCUCCUACGGUCUUGACGCGUCGUCAUGAGCGGUUCGUGCAGACUCCAAGUCCUUCGAACUGCUAGUUGUUCGUCUCGGCCGACACUUUGGCCACGGCGGACGAGGUGUCUCUCGUCCCUUCACGCUAGUAUAUGGACGACGGUCCCCGUCUUUCCCACGAGGAACCUCUUCUCACCACGGCCGUGGUUCCGCACGUUCUUUCCCUCGCCUUCAACAACUGAACCUACGAUUGGACCCAAGACUUGUGGAGGGAUUUCGACAACGGUAUGUACGUCAACAAACACUUAGGUUCCUGGGACGAAACUUGUUCCAACGAGUCCCACAGCCGUUAUUUCCAUACUCUUACCUACCACUUUCACGACUCUUCGAACAGCCGCGACUUCUGCUAAGUUGUUAUCGUGGUUAGGGCCUCUCCCAAGUACAUCCAUUAAGAGGACACAUAUAUUGACUGUCCUUUGAUCCAUUUCCACCGAAACCAGUUCACAUACAACCAUCUUCCCAUAGACCACCCUGACGAGCGUGACCAGGAGUACGUAUACUCCAACGUAACUUCAAACUCGUGGCCUCAUCAUUUCCCACGUUAAAACAGGGGGGUAUACUCACCGUUCAAAUAGUCUGAGAGUUGCCGACGAUACCACAUGGCCGUCAGGUGAUAUUCCCGGCCGUCCCGCUGAUGAUAUAGGAACAUUACCUAUAGGAACCAGGGUCAGAAACCCUACAUACCUUAAGCGACCCUGUUCGCUACAGAGGUGUAUACCGACGAACGUAACGACAUCUUCGGUAUAGUUAAGAACUCUUCAAAGUAAGGUUUCCCAAACAAGUACCACUACACUUUGGUCUCUUGAAAGACGAACCAGACGGACCUAGUGGACUCCUCUUCUUCGAAAAGGAAUAACUAGAACCAAAUCGUAGUUUCACCUCUCUAAGCAGUCCAGUUGUACAACUAAUACUAGUUUCCGGACUAUAGAAGUCCCCCUGUUAAUCUAUACGUUCACGAGUACGAGUAGAUCCAGCAUGUCCAUCAUCCUCCCUACUAAAUCUCAGUAACCGUAUGUGGGAAUAUAAAAAUUAUUUUCCUUCUAACGGAACCGUUCCGAUGGUCCCUCUAUGGUUCUCAAAGGAACAAACGUUCUUUUUUUACCGAUGGAGAGGCCUAUACAAUACGUCAAAGACGGGUGGAGGCAAGUUUGUCAAAGAACUCAGACAGUGUUUAUACUUUAAACUACUUCUCGGUUUAAUGCGGUUUGAAUAAAGAGAGAAACUUUCAAACUAACUUAGUGGACGCAGUUCCGGGUAGUCUUAACUACCCCGGGAAUUCCACCCCGUUUUUGCACCUUCCGAUGGACAUUUAGUACUUCUUCUACUAGUCGGAUUCUUCUUUCAAUCUAAUCCCUCGGGUCGUAGUGUCACCUAAAGUCAAAUGUUACGGUCCGCGGGAUACUUCGUCGCCAUAGUAAUGUUACAACGACUGUUGUCCGAAGUUGUCGUAUAUCUUUUCCCAUUACUCCUACCAGAUAUGUAGUCAACACACCGAAGAAGUCGUUUGGAAACCCGAGAGUAAUACCUACGUCCUUGACUAAAGCCAAGAGUCCAAAUACUUGAGAGUGGACAAAAAGAUGUGUUCCUGACCUAUUACCUAGUCACCCUCUUUUCAAAGAUGUAUUGUCGUUAUCGACCUCGUAACUUGCCUUCAAGUAACCAAAAUUACAGAUUUCCUUGAGGAAUGUGAGUUGUUAGCAUGUUCCAAUCGCUUAGUAAGGGGAAGUUCACCUAGUUAUUUUUCACCUUUCUUCCAAAAGUACAUUGUAGAUACCGGUGUCGACCUUUAGCGACCCCUCAUCAGUACAGUUCCUUGAGACCGAUAAGACUUGUCUAACAACUCAACCUAAAGGACAUAGGUUCACUUCCGUAGGUAGCCGCUACCCUCGUACCAAUGUCUUAUUGAAGAAGUCGUCGAUGGCCACUAGUUCGGCGAAAAUAGAACUCGUUCGGUUUUGCCUUUGGUCAUCUGCUCUGUGUUCUUUGAGAUGCCUGGAGUCGGAAAGGGUCGUUGGUACAUUUCCUAUUUACCCGGUUCUUAGAUAUGUAACGAAGCUAGACGAUGCCCUCUUGACAGUCAACUGGUUCUCUCCCUGCAAAUGAUGAAACCGUUUACUCGUAGUCAACUACACUCUAUGUUCUCUUAACGGUACUAUCCUAAGUUUUCGUCUUCAACUACACUACCAAUUAAGCUGGAUUAACAUUUUGGCUUACGUACAACACCUGGAAGAGGUAUUCUACGAUUGUAUUAGGUGUGCUUUAAACGUAAAUAUCAAACCAAUCAAAGUGGAAACGCGACAACCCG
This 2576-nucleotide ribosomal RNA is filed under the name Triticum aestivum (bread wheat). Its description in RNAcentral is "partial small subunit ribosomal RNA". Lineage: Eukaryota; Viridiplantae; Streptophyta; Magnoliopsida; Poales; Poaceae. The record is from RNAcentral.